GGGCCAUCUCGCCUGAGGAGGUUGCUAGAUCACCAAGCCUUCGGCAUGGGGGUCGGAAUGUCCACUUCAGCCAUCCUACCUUAAGAGGUUAGUAGGUUGCCAAGCCUUCAAUGUGGAGGCCAGAAUUUUCACUUUGGUUGUCCCGAUUUAAGAGGUUGGUAGGUCGCUAAGACUUCGAUAAGGGGCCAGCAUGUCAAGGCUGUUAGCUCAUUCAAUAAAUGUUGGUGUUAUCUUCUUAGGGCCAUUAGAUAGCUCACUUG
RNAcentral lists this long non-coding RNA (260 nucleotides) under Elaeis guineensis (African oil palm). RNAcentral's name for it is "long non-coding RNA (EGUI_LNC061113)". The record is from RNAcentral. Lineage: Eukaryota; Viridiplantae; Streptophyta; Magnoliopsida; Arecales; Arecaceae.